Molecule: long non-coding RNA, 444 nt
Filed under: Limulus polyphemus (Atlantic horseshoe crab)
Lineage: Eukaryota; Metazoa; Arthropoda; Merostomata; Xiphosura; Limulidae
Description: uncharacterized LOC106468786, transcript variant X8
Source: RNAcentral
GGAGGACUAUCAUUCGAACCUAGCGUUAGUUACAUAAUAACGUACAUUUACAAAUGUUUACGCUCUUACUCAGUCUUAGUUCGAUUUUUUGAGGGCCAGAAUUUAUUACUGGCUAGAAAAUUCUUAAGAAAUAUUUUUGCCUUUCCUAAAUCAACCUCAAAGUCAAUCGAAUGUCUUGUUUACAAAUGUACUUCUCUACUACAACAUAAGUUUUAGGACUAAUAUGCAAAAUCUUGUAUUUGGAAGCCAGGAAACAAUGGGCUGGAUUUAUACCUGUGGAGGUCCUUAACUCUGUUCAAACUCAUAAUACAGUGGUCCCCCUCUCUAACGACUGACCUUACAGCCAGUCUAUCAAAGUCGUAUCUGCGGGGAUGUCGUUAGGAAGGGGACGGGCCAUGGGGCCAUUGCCUACAGUCAGCCAGUCAUCCUUAGCCAGAAUCAAUC